RNAcentral lists this ribosomal RNA (303 nucleotides) under uncultured bacterium. Its description in RNAcentral is "partial 16S ribosomal RNA". It matches the Rfam family "Bacterial small subunit ribosomal RNA", at positions 507 to 807 of the family's 1533-position model. The record is from RNAcentral.
AGCAGCAGCCGCGGUAAAACGAAGGGGGCUAGCGUUGCUCGGAAUGACUGGGCGUAAAGGGCGCGUAGGCGGCGGCCAAAGUCAGGCGUGAAAUUCCCGGGCUCAACCUGGGGGCUGCGUUUGAUACUUGGUUGCUUGAGUGGGGAAGAGGGUCGUGGAAUUCCCAGUGUAGAGGUGAAAUUCGUAGAUAUUGGGAAGAACACCGGUGGCGAAGGCGGCGACCUGGUCCUUUACUGACGCUGAGGCGCGAAAGCGUGGGGAGCAAACAGGAUUAGAUACCCCCGUAGUCCCUGUCUCUUAUAC